This 202-nucleotide long non-coding RNA is filed under the name Arabidopsis thaliana (thale cress). RNAcentral describes it as "ncRNA (AT3G07805)". The record is from RNAcentral. Lineage: Eukaryota; Viridiplantae; Streptophyta; Magnoliopsida; Brassicales; Brassicaceae.
AUCCACGAAUGAUCGUACCUAAAUACAAUUUGACUUCCACUUUUAGUAUCCAACACGUAACCUUUUGUGGUUAAUUCUCAAAACCUAAACCUAACAAUUUGGUUUUCUAUAUCUAUAACAUCACUAAAAUUGCAUCACAUCACAAUCAAAAUCUACUCUGAGUUCUUUCUCCUGAAGAAUGCUUAAUUACACAAUUUGACUA